GCGGGCUGGGCCGGGCGGGAUCGGGCAGAGUUGGGCCGCACAGGGCCGGGGAGAGGGGGAGAGGUCGGAGACCCCGCCCCCCGGAGCUUUGGGGAGAUCGCGCUGUUCUGGGGAAAGGGCGGCGGCAGUGUGGUGAGGGGCGCGAGGGGUUGUGGCCCUCACUUGUGCUGGAGGCCGGAGCUGGGAGCUCCGCGGACGCUGGUGGCGUACCCAGCGGCUUUCUUUCCAGCCACCGCCCUCCGCCUCUCCAGAGGCCUGCAGAAAAGCAGUUCGUUCGUACCUCUCCGUUCUUAUGCGCCAGCUGGCCACUCGGAUUCGAGGGAGGAGUGAUCUAGGCCCAUUUCUCCCAGCGCUUUCUCAUCCCCCCUCUCAGAUUGCUCAGGAAUCGUCCCCUCGUUCUCCCUGUCCGGACAAACCCCGUCUCCACCGCUAACCCCUCGUCUGGCACACGCAGAACUACUCACCCGUGGUCUUGGAGGCCUUGGAGACGGUCCGGCUUGUGACUUUUACUGUCUCUGGGACAGACCCGAGCCUCUGUUUGAGCCCGCGGCUGCUGUCUCUUGCAGCCCUCCUGCCCCGACGCCUCACCGCCCGUGUUGGCACUUCUUCUCAUCACCACCGUUAGCCUCCGCAGGAGUGCGCGCACCCCUGCCUUCUGAUUUGACUAAAAGUUGGUUGGUUUGCGUGCCGUGGAUAUGUUGUGUUCUCUCACGGAGGUCUCGGCGCAGUUUUCAUUUUUCUGGCUGUGGAUGUUCGUGUCCCUCAGGCGCUCUGAUGACCCUGUCUGCCUCGGUUCCUGUACCGACGUUUCCAGAGAUGCUCUUACCCUUAGCGUUCGUUCUUCCACCGCCUUGGUCCCGGGAGCAGUGCCACACCCAGGCUCUCGCUGGGAGGCUAGGCUUCGACGUUGCUCUUUCUCUGUCCACACUGCAGGUGACACCCAGGGCAGCCUCACUCAGAAGCUGCAAGGAAUACUAAUGGAGACUAUCAUAACUCCUCCCCACCUCUCUUCCAAGCCACCCCUUGCGUGCGCCUUGGUCCAGAAAGCCGCUUCAGAAGGCUGUAGGUAGCCGUGGGAAGCCUGUUUUGCGGAAUGUGACGGCACAGCUGCUAGGGUUUGUGGCCACCUGUCCUGAGCAACUUUCUGCUCUUACUAGGUCUCACAAGACGGUGCCAGGUUUGGAGGGAGUAAGGGAAUUUUCCUCCAGGACCAGAUACCUGAGAUUCAUAAUCUUCACCCCUUUCUCCUCCAGCUAUAUUCCUUUUGCUCUUUUUCUGUACACUGUAUUGCAGCAGUCAUUGCAAAGGUACAGCAAGGUUUACUACGGUGUGAGAGACUCUUGGGCAUUGCAAAUUAUACAGGUGAGGUCGGUUACAGAUCUACAGCAUGCUUUGCCCAUUUAAUUUGGCACAGGCAUAAAACAGAACAGUCCCAGACUCUUCACUUUCGCAAAUCCUCCUUUGAAUUUGUCCGACACUGGAAAAGUUGGAUCUUUUCUUCUUGAACCUCAGAUUUACUUGUUCAAGCAUUCCCUUGCUUUAGGUACUGGUUCUCAAACUUAUACAUCUUAAGCACCUGAAGAGCUUGUUAAACACUGCUGAGGCCAUCCCCAGAGUUUCUGAUAAUAGGUCUGGGCUGGGUCUUGAUAAUUUGCAGUUCUCACAAGUUCUUAGCUGCUGGUGCUACUGGUCUGGAUUUCUCACGCUGAGAGCCAAGGCCUUGGUCCAGACUUCUUCACAUAAACCGUGCAGCGGUUUACUUGUGGGUGAGUACUUGUGUACUGGAAACUAGCAAUAUGAUCUUGUGUGGGUAAUGUAACCACUGAGGGUGUUGGAGGGACACAAUUUCUCCUAAAUUUGAAUGCAAGCGGGCCCUGUGUGCAGCAGCAAGGCCAGCACAAGAUGAAAAAACCUGGAGUAAGCAAGUAGCAAAACUGCUGAACAUCGGGAGAUUGUGGAGCACAUGUUCUUGUCAUUGGUAAGGGGUUCCCUGUAGAAUCGUGUUAUGCAUUGAAUCCUGAUGUUCUUGAAUACUACAGUAGUUUCUGAGGAAGAAAAAAGGCAGAAUUUUGAAGAUACUGGGAGGAAAUUAUAAAGUGGUCUAAACCUAGAAUUAUUAGACUGCCAGAAAUGGUGGAACGAUAAGCAAAUAAAGUCAUAAAAUCACAACAACAUUCAAAUAUUUGGGCACUAGCUUAGUAAUAACCAAAGAAUAUUUAGCCUUUUCUCCAUCCCAAAGUCCUGAGAGAAAUAAAUAGAAAAAGGUAAAGGCAAA
Molecule: long non-coding RNA, 2275 nt
Organism: Phyllostomus discolor (pale spear-nosed bat)
Lineage: Eukaryota; Metazoa; Chordata; Mammalia; Chiroptera; Phyllostomidae
Exons: 2
Source: RefSeq, a predicted model, not a curated record